GUGGGAGUUGAAAAGGACAAAAAAAUGUACCAAAGAGUAAAUACCAUUGGUGGUGGGAAACCAGAGAGACAGACCAACAGCAUUUGAAUGCAAUUGCAGUAGUAAAUUUGAAAUUGAUGGAGUGUAACGAAUUUUUGCUUUCGUCUUAAAUUUUUCUUCUUGUUUGCUGCCACAAAGCAACUCCGAUCGGCUUCAAGCGUUAGAGAAGUUGAAGAAAAGCAUUGAUGGUAUAAGAGGAAGUGGUUGGAAGCUCUUUUGAACUCUCCUUCAACGUUUCUUGUUCCUGGGUAAGUUGGCUUUUGGAGGGUUUUUUCAGCAGACCAACCACCUCCCCCUUUUAAUGCGAGAUUCUGUUGUUAGAGUUGGCUUCGAAUCUGGGUUUUGUAUCUUUGUUGGGUGUGAUGGUGUUGAAUUUGAAUUGGAACCCGCAAAGUAUGGGCCUUUGAAAGGAUGCUAAAGCUACGGUUUCUCUUAUCAGUGUUAAAGUGAAAUUGUCUGUGGAAACUGGAGAGAACGAGGAGGCAUCCAUGCACCUCUUAAUAUGGAAGCCAAUAACUCAUUGUGCUUCUUUGAUAAUGGACAAGAAGGCCAGAAGGAGAGAUGGUUCUGCUUUGGGUUCUCGUUCUGGCGGAUUGUCUAUGCUCCGUCAAUUGCAAGAGAACAAGCUCAAGGAGGCUCUCGAGGAAGCAUCUGAAGAUGGGUCGCUUGCAAAAUCCCAAGACAUCGAUGCUGAGUCAUCCCCAAAUCAAGAAAGAACAGCCAUUGGGAGGUCAAGAUCUCUUGCUAGGCUCAAUGCCCAGAAGGAAUUCUUGCGUGCUACAGCUCUGGCAGCAGAAAGAACCUUCUGCUCUGAGGACUCAAUUCCUGACCUCCGUGAUGCGUUCUCUAAGUUCCUCACUAUGUACCCAAAGUUUCAAUCCACAGAAAAGAUUGAUCGGCUGCGGCUUGAUGAAUACGGGAAUCUAUCCGAGUCCAUGUCAAAGGUAUGUCUUGAUUACUGUGGCUUCGGUCUGUUUUCUCAUCUACAAACUCAGCAACAUUGGGAAUCAUCUGCUUUUACUUUGCACGAAAUAACUACAAAUUUGAGUAAUCAUGCUCUCUAUGGAAGUGCUGAAAAGGGCACUGCUGAACAUGAUGUAAAGAGUAAGAUUAUGGAUUAUUUGAACAUCCCU
Molecule: unclassified non-coding RNA, 1172 nt
Filed under: Hevea brasiliensis (rubber tree)
Lineage: Eukaryota; Viridiplantae; Streptophyta; Magnoliopsida; Malpighiales; Euphorbiaceae
Source: RNAcentral